UCUGUGGACGGUUUACGGUUUAACGGGCUUUUCUGCGUUUCUCACGUUGGGAGAAAAAGCUGCGGGGCGGCCCUCGUGGCCGAGAUGCCACUGUGUGCCCUGCCAGUCGGCGGUGGAUCCUGAGGGGCAGGAGGUGCCCACCGAGUGCAGGGGGCAGAACGCUAAGCACUGCGACUACGAAAUGAACCUGUGCUGGAACGAGAUCAAGCGCAAAUCCCACAACAUCAGGUACCGUUCAUUCACAAUUAUUCCCCUAAUCGAUAAGAUUUACUAGGUUUAUAGUUUAAUUGUGACCCUAAUAGGUUGUUAUGUAAUUAUCUGGGGGAAAUCUCAAAUACAAACAAGCUGUACGUACAGUACAGCACAGGGUUUCUUGAAUUUAACCUUUAUUUUAGUGCAUCAGGGCACAAUUUAUUAUUUUCACGC
Molecule: long non-coding RNA, 426 nt
Filed under: Astyanax mexicanus (Mexican tetra)
Lineage: Eukaryota; Metazoa; Chordata; Actinopteri; Characiformes; Acestrorhamphidae
Description: lncRNA (ENSAMXG00005003106.1)
Source: RNAcentral